ACGUCUGACCUGCCCACUGAUUUAUUUAAUGGCCGCGGUAUUUUGACCGUGCAAAGGUAGCAUAAUAAUUUGUCUUUUAAUUGAAGGCUUGUAUGAAUGGUUGGACGAGAAAACUACUUUCUUUAUAAUAAAAUAAUUAAUUUUAUUUUUUAGUUAAAAAGCUAAAAUUGUGUUGUAGGACGAGAAGACCCUAUAGAACUUUAUAUUUAUUUUUAUAUUAAUAUUUUUAGUUUAUAAUAUAUUGUAUUUUUAUAAAUAUUUUGUUGGGGCGACAAGAAAAUUUAUUUAACUUUUUUUUAUUAAUUUCAUUAAUUAAUGUAUAAAUGAUCCUUUAUUAUGGAUAGUUAGAAUAAGUUACCUUAGGGAUAACAGCGUAAUUUUUUUGGAGAGUUCUUAUCGAUAAAAAAGUUUGCGA
Molecule: ribosomal RNA, 415 nt
Filed under: Sigara bellula
Lineage: Eukaryota; Metazoa; Arthropoda; Insecta; Hemiptera; Corixidae
Description: partial large subunit ribosomal RNA
Rfam family: Archaeal large subunit ribosomal RNA
Source: RNAcentral